Molecule: long non-coding RNA, 995 nt
Organism: Mauremys mutica (yellowpond turtle)
Lineage: Eukaryota; Metazoa; Chordata; Testudines; Geoemydidae
Exons: 4
Source: RefSeq, a predicted model, not a curated record
UAUGCUGAGUCUCUUUAUGAAAUGGAAUAGUAGUGGAAUGAGCUGAAAGUAGCAAUGCCCAUCAUUGCACAUGAGCAGCCGCUAAUGAUGGAAUUCCAUGGUUUGGUCGAAAAAUUGAAAGUAACAGUCAAUGAUCUGCUAGCAAGGGCAGGUCUACAGAGGCAAAGGUAAUCUGCUUCUCUAGCUGCACUUUUGUCUUUGUCAUGUCGAUGGCUACUAUGACAGAGUGGAUAGCAGACAAGGAGAGACUUAAGAUAACACAUCUCCCUGGAUUAGUACUAUUUCAUGCUGUUUUAGCAUUACUGAAUGAUUUCUCCAUAGCUGAAGUAUCCAUGUUAAAUCAUAAUGAGGUAUUAAAAACUGUAGAAAAGACCACAUUUUUCACUGCAAUCCUGACCCUGAUUCCUGGACCCUUGGCACAAUUCGUGACCCCAUCUCUGGCUCUGACCCUUGGCUUGCCUUCAGACUCCAGCUUUGACCGAUGGCUUUGAUUCCUUGCUCCCAAGCUCCUGCCACUAGUUCUGUGUUAUCUUCAUCGCUGAUCCUGACACCUAGACCUGAACAUCUCUGAACUAUGGAAAAGUUUGGGUCUGGAGCCAAACUCUCUGUCUUGAGCUCAUCUCUGUGCUUUAUCGUCCCAACUGGCCCUUUCUGUCAACAGUCACCCUUCUCCUUCAGCAAACCUUGUACUUACCUUUGUACUUUUUGGAGGAAAAAUUUUCUUAAAGUAUUAUUGUAACUUUACCUGAACUUACUAUGUUAUAUGUUGUUUAUCCAGAAUCAGGUUAAUAUUCAACGAACCUGGUCAAAGAUUUUGGUUCACUAGCUGGGGAGCACUUCUCUGAGUGCACCAAAAAGAGUGACAAAACUUAUACUUAUCCUCUUUUUUUUGACACUUACCUUGUGAAUAUACUUGAUGUGAAAGCUUUUCUGUUACAAGGACAGUCUAUAUUUUACUAUGCCACAGUUUCAAAGGAGGAGAAGUCACACUUUUU